Olea europaea var. sylvestris is the source of this 2605-nucleotide RNA transcript. RefSeq lists it as uncharacterized. The transcript is spliced from 3 exons. Lineage: Eukaryota; Viridiplantae; Streptophyta; Magnoliopsida; Lamiales; Oleaceae. The record is from RefSeq and is a predicted model, not a curated record.
UUAAAAAAAAAAAAUUUAAUCAACAUAUCGGCGACAUGUCGUGCCAGUAUUAUUUUCAAAAAAUCGCUUGUCAAUAUGUGUCGGUGCAUCAUUUGCAUCUAUUUUUAGGUUAAUGAAUUCUUAAUAUAAAUCAUUAGAUCAGAUUAUUAACUGAUAUUCUAUGUCCUAACUCCUCAACUGAGCUUGGAUUGAUAUGGGAGCUUCAUAUAUUGAAUUAGAUAAACCAGCUUCUCCAAUGGAAUCUGAGGAAGGGACCGCAAAAGAUUUGAUGACAAAUUCUUCCCUUUCCAUUGAAAAAGUUCAUCAUGAUACAUCAAACAAUCCAUCUUCCUCUAUCUCUUCCUCACCAGAUUCCACAUUAGACGAUCACAUUUGCGAUCUCAAUAAAAAUAGUGAUGAGACAAUUUCUGGAAAUUUUGUUUCCAAAUAUGAACUAUCUGAUAACGGAUCAUCGUGUGCUACAUCGCUAGCGGCAUUUACAAGUCAAAUGCCUCCAGCCAAUGUAUCAGCAACACAAUCACCCUCUCCACAAGUGAUGGAGCGUCCAGCGGCUCUGCCUGGCGCAUCUUCGUAUAGAAUCCCAUCUUCCGUGUUUGAUAGAAGUAAGUCGUCAACCCCAAUGGAGUGGAGUGUAUGUUCGAAUGAAUCGUUGUUCAGCAUUCACACAGGAAAUAUGAGUUUUAGAAAUGAUCCCUUCUUUUUGCGAUCGGGUGAAUUGGGUCCACCAGGAGAAGUAUCUACAUCCGGUCAGAUGUUUAAUUACUCAACUGUCCAGGCUUCAGGUACUGAACCCAAAAGUCAUGAGUUUGGAGUAGUGGAGGCAAGCAUUAAGGAAGUAAUUCGAGAAAGUGAAGAUCAAAAGAACGAAAGCUGGAUGCCUGAGGAAAUUAUGUCUCGUCGUUCUCGAGAGAGUAGAACAAGUGCCAAAUCUUUUGCAUUUCCAAUUAUCAAUAUCGUGGCAUCAUCAAGAACAGCUGAAUCAUUUUAAUACCUUAAGAUUGAUAGGAGACAUAGACCAUUGUGCUUCAGAGAGGACGGCUAGUUCAGUUAAGGUAGCUCCGGAGCAGCAGGAAUCUCAAGCACAGCAAACGCAGAAGCAAGAGCCCGAGUCAAGCGCACAGCCCAAGCCAAAAACCUCCUCAGAAACUGAAAAACCAGCUCCUUCCAAAUGGUUUUCUUGGUUUAAAUGCUGCUCCUUCUGUAAGUGAAAAUGAGUUUUGCCAAAAUUAUUGCCUUAAGCGAGCAAAACUCAGAGGAUCCAUCGACAUGAAACUGGAAUACAGUGGAAGGAUAAGCCUACCCAAAAUUUACCGGAUGUUUACAAGCACUUUCUCUGCACAUCGGCUGGAUGAAAUCGACGAGCUUUCUAGCAGAUGAAACGGAAAAUAUUGUUGUAGAGCAAUGACCAUGUUAUGUGGCUUGGAAUAUAGAAAUAUGGUAGGAAUAUUAGAAGUUAGUUAAUGUGAAUUGAAUAUUAAGCGUGACUUAUGCAUAUGUACAAUUACAGGUUCAAUACAUCAGUCUUAUAGUAUUUAUUGAUUCAAGGAUUGAUCAGAAUAUCUGAUUUUUUAUAUUGAAUUUUGCAAGAAUUGAUUAGGAAAAAUUUUCAAUUAGUAUGAAUGUACUUUUAUAUCAUGCUUGAUACUUCAGAAUCCAAGUUUAAUUUGUCACAAUCAGUUCAUUAAACUUCAAUUUACUUUUAAUGUUAGUCAUUCUGGUAGCCCAGCUGCUGAACUUAUCACCCUUCUAUUUGUUUUUGUUUUUUUGUUUUUUCAAUUGUAAGUUUUUAUUUUAGAUGCGGUUCAAUCCAUUUUCUAGUGAAGAUAAGAAAUAAAAAAUAAAUGGAUUGUGUUGUGAAAUAGUUAAUCAAGAAAUCAUUACCUCUUGCUAACUUGUGAGCUAAAUGGAGUUGAAGAAAUCUUUCCUGCAGCUGAGGCGGGAUGAUUAAACAGAACUCCAUUUGUUCAGUGCUGCUAUUUGAUUGUACAGAUUGUUUAUUUUGAGGAACUUCAAUUGUUGCUUUUAUGGAUUUUGCAAUAGCAUGAUUUGUCCAGCUGCUCUGUUUGUCACUGGACCUCAGGAUUAUACUUAGCUUAAGUGAUGUGCUGCCCGUGUAUUGGCUUUUUCUCUAUUGUUGGUAUCUGUAUUUUGAUUACUAAGUUUAACUUCUAGUUGAGUAAACCUCCUCUUAUCUCUUUAUUUUUAAGUGAGCACAUGGAAAAUAGUUACAGUAAUCGGUGGCAUUAUUUGAGAUAUAGGAUUCUUUUAUGUAAUCUGGACAUAAUUGAAGUUUAGUCUUUAGCAUUUUCCCUUGUUGCUCACCCCCUUUUUAAUGCCAUCUUUAAAAGUCUUUUAGCUAUUAUCUAUAAGUUGCAAAUCUACGUAUGUAUGUUUUGGUUAUUUGCUAAAUCUGUAACGUUCUGUAUAUGUUUCCUUUAUCUCCUGAGGUGCUUGAUGGUAACAUUUCAAAUGUCCGACGCCUCCUUUGAUAGUUCUGGGUUCGUUACAUUGUCGCCUUGCAUGCCAUUUAGUAUUUAAUUGGCUCAAAUGGUUUGGUUAUCUUUAAGUUGAGCUAUUUGUGAACUGGUAUUGAAAGUUGAACUUU